This 497-nucleotide ribosomal RNA is filed under the name uncultured bacterium. RNAcentral describes it as "partial 16S ribosomal RNA". It matches the Rfam family "Bacterial small subunit ribosomal RNA", at positions 28 to 507 of the family's 1533-position model. The record is from RNAcentral.
GAUGAACGCUGGCGGCGUGCCUAAUACAUGCAAGUCGAGCGAACAGACGAGGAGCUUGCUCCUCUGACGUUAGCGGCGGACGGGUGAGUAACACGUGGAUAACCUACCUAUAAGACUGGGAUAACUUCGGGAAACCGGAGCUAAUACCGGAUAAUAUAUUGAACCGCAUGGUUCAAUAGUGAAAGACGGUUUUGCUGUCACUUAUAGAUGGAUCCGCGCCGCAUUAGCUAGUUGGUAAGGUAACGGCUUACCAAGGCGACGAUGCGUAGCCGACCUGAGAGGGUGAUCGGCCAAACUGGAACUGAGACACGGUCAAGACUCCUACGGGAGGCAGCAGUAGGGAAUCUUCCGCAAUGGGCGAAAGCCUGACGGAGCAACGCCGCGUGAGUGAUGAAGGUCUUCGGAUCGUAAAACUCUGUUAUUAGGGAAGAACAAAUGUGUAAGUAACUAUGCACGUCUUGACGGUACCUAAUCAGAAAGCCACGGCUAACUACGUG